This 4519-nucleotide long non-coding RNA is filed under the name Salvia miltiorrhiza (redroot sage). RNAcentral's name for it is "long non-coding RNA (SMIL_LNC006658)". Lineage: Eukaryota; Viridiplantae; Streptophyta; Magnoliopsida; Lamiales; Lamiaceae. The record is from RNAcentral.
AGCCAACAUGACAAAUGGGUGGCCGUGGGGUAUAGAUCAAAGAACAAGACAAGAAAAAACUGCAACAAAAAUGAAUAGAUAGAAAAUGAGAAAAUAUAAACGAAAGAAUUUGUCAAUUAGAUUUGUUUAACUUGGCUGCAAUAGGAUGAAAUAUCAGAGUGAUAUUUAAUGAGUUGAGAAAGCUAAAAGCCAGUGGAAUCCUGAAAUAGUUCUACACAGAUUGUUGCUGGAUUCAUAGUGAAGAUCGUCUCUGCUCACUUAUGCGCUAACUAUGUAGUGCUUUGCUUCAUUCCACAGAAGUCUCUCAAGGAAAAUAUUCUAUCAGUUCACAAAAGGAAAGACAUUGCCUUAAAUUCAAUGUCAAAUGUCAUACCUAUCAACCUUACUGCCAAAGUUUUCAUAAUAAUGUGAUGUAAUAUCAGAGAACCCCUUUGACAAAUUGACACAAAAAGAAAAAGCAAACUCAAAUGGCACUUAACCGAGAAAGACACUAACAGAAUUUCCAACACUAAACUUGUACGUCAAAACCACUACUAGCUUCUUGAGAGGCUGCUGUGGAAUGAAGCAAAGCACUAAAUCAGCACACAUCCUGCCGGAAACUAACAUGACAUAGUGACAAGAAGCAAAAAAAUAAUGGAAUAGUAUCUAACACAGUCGCUAAUUGACUCUUUAUACUAAUAUUGAGUCAGGUACUCAAUCAAAUAUCCCGCCAAAUAUUUUUGCACACACCAGAAUCCCAUCAUCAAAACCCACUGCAACUAAAAUUGCUGCAUGACCGGGUAGAAUAUAGAGGUUUAACACUAACUAAAGCGCAAGCAGUACCGAAAACAGGAACCUGAAUAUGCAUAUUUCCCCGUAAAAAUCACAGGCUGUAAGCUAAAGCAAACUAAUUAACCAAAACAAAGCCUCUAAUUAUAAAUCAACAACUCAAAAACCAGCAAUUUUGAGACGCGUAAUGCGUGUAUGGAUUUGAAAAUUGCAGGAAGAAGACCUGUAAGAAAUGUCCAACACUAAGCCUCUAAAUCCAGACAGGUCAUCAAUCUCAAACCCUGCUUCAUCCUCCAACACUUCAUCAAACACUCCACCGGCAUUGCUCGUCGCAGACGACGGCGGCGGCGACGAUUUGGAGGCGUGCGCCGUAGAAUCGAGAGCUUGCGCUUGCGAUCUCCGCGCUGAAACACUUAACUCUACAGCGGCGGUGAAAUGCCGNAAAUAGAGAGAGAGAGAGAGAGAGAGAGAGAGAGGGAGGUUAACUAAAGCUUUCUCGUAAUUUCAAUUGCGAGACGCCUACAUUACACUUUCAUCUAUGCUCUUUCUGGCAAUCCAGUUCUUAGAAAAUAUAAAGUACCUUAGGGACCUUCAGCAAUUUCAUACUAGCUUCCUCCAGCGUUUUUUGACCUUUCUUGCAGUUGCAUCUCGAGCAGGCAGCUACCUGUUUCACAAAUAAGUGAAAUUUUUUGUAUGAAAACUAUGGCUAAAAACUGUAAAUUCUAUUAUGGAACAAGAGAAAUGAUCUGUGAGGUUGAUGUUUCCAGCCUCCUGAAAUAUCACACAAGUUUUGGUUGGUGAUGCCUCGUACAACUUUAAAGAUCUCUACUUCUCUAACAAUGCUUAAUUCCUACUGAAUCAGAUCAUUAAUUCUUCCCAUAAUAAACCUGUCGCAUGCAUAUGAUUUGAGGCCAAGCAACCAAGGCCUAUCCAUUCCUAGUGGGCCUAUAGUACUUAAUAACAUCUACAACCUUUUUUUAAAAAUAUUAUAAGUGAAAGAAGUAUUCAGCGAACAUGAAAUGAGAUUAUGAAUUCUACAUCCUUCAAAUGUUAACUUACCAGAUUUUCCCAUGUCCAUUUCCCCCCUCGUGCAAUAGGGAAAACAUGAUCAAUGGUCAGGUUCUCAGUGGAAGAACAAUAUCUGUCAAAUGAGUCAAAUUACAGGAUUCAGCUAGUGCUAAAUGCUAACAAGUGAAGUUGGCCGCAGCAUCGUGCAGUUAUAAGCACAUAAAAUCAAAAUAUUACUAAGAAGAUUUAUGUUAGCCGAAUCUCUCAUCUAAUAAGAUUUUUUAGUGAGUCUUUUGUUUCAACUGCAGUAUUUAGGCCCUAUACUUUAACCUACAUAAUAAUUUAGGUAAAAAAAAUAACUCUAAUGCUUUUUUCUGGAGAUUUUUUAGCAACAAUGUGAUGUGAAUGAAAUGGAUUGACACAAUCAAAGCAUAAGAGGGAAAAAUGACAAAUAUAUAUGUUAAGAACUCACUGACAAGUGUAGUUGUCACGUUGAAAAAUAUUUUUUCGACUUAGGCCUCUUUUCACCUUUCUUCUCUUCACAAUUUGUAGUAAAUGUGGAACCUGAGGGAAUUAAUGCACAGUUAUCAUUGAUUUGCAUAAAAAGUUAAAAAAAAAGAACUAAACAUUGAAAAAGGUAAAUAGCACUUAACUAUCACCUGAAAUAGUUAAAUCACCAACAAAAUUUUCCCCCUCUGUAAUUAAAUAUGAAGAGGGAGGGGGAAAUUUAUAGGUAACUUAGCUAUUUCAAAUGAGAGGUAAUUAUUCUUAUAUAAAUAUUAUAAGGAAAUAGAAUUGGAAAAGCAAUAUGAAAAGGGUCACUAUUACAGCACUUAAUCAGUGGCUUCAUACCCUCAACACAGCAGGAAUAUAGAAGGAACCACUAGGAGAGUUUAUAGUUUGGUCAUAAUAUUCUAAAACAUCAGCCUGCAAUUUAGGAGGAGAAGAUGAAAUCAAAAGGUUAUGAUUCAGUGAUACAAUUUCAAUCUACUAAUGCAAGGAGGUAUAAUGUGAACUACAGUUAAAGUCAAAAAUUUCAUGGGUAAAUAGCUUCCGGCUCAAACUUUUAUAUUUCUUUUGAUGCUAGUUGCCAAAAAUUCUUUGAAAUGUUAAAAAUGUUUUGAACUAAUGGAAACUAGCCCAUGUAAGAAACCAGGAAGAGCCCGACCUUAUCCAUGAACUCCAAACAUAUGGCGCGUUUCCAGCAGACAACAUUAACAGGCCUGGCAUGACCAAAAUAUCAUUCAAAUAGUUUUCGAAACAAUUUCAUAAUGCUUCACAAAUCAACCCAGGCCUACUUAUUUUCAGCCAACAUGACAAAUGGGUGGCCGUGGGGUAUAGAUCAAAGAACAAGACAAGAAAAACUGCAACAAAAAUGAAUAGAUAGAAAAUGAGAAAAUAUAAACGAAAGAAUUUGUCAAUUAGAUUUGUUUAACUUGGCUGCAAUAGGAUGAAAUAUCAGAGUGAUGUUCAAUGAGUUCAGAAAGCUAAAAGCCAAUGGAAUCCUGAAAUAGUUAUACUCAGAUUAUUGCUGGAUCCAUAGCCUUCUUCUAGUGAAGAUUGUCUCUGCUCACUUACUUAUGCGCCAACUAUCUAGUGCUUUGCUUCAUUCCACAGAAGUCUCUCAAGGAAAAUGUUCUACUAUUAGUUCAAGAAAGCAAAGGUGUUACCUUAAAUUCAAUGUCAAAUGUGAUGUAAUGUCAGAGAAUCCCUUUGAUAAAUUGACGCAAAAGGAAAACUCAAACUCAAAUGGCACUUAACCAAGAAAGCCAUUAAGGGAAUUUCCAACACUUAACUCGUACAUUCAAAAUUCUACAUUUCAACAAAAAAUAUCACCGAAGAACACUUGUCAGGUCAAAACCACUAAUAGCUUCUUGAGAGUUGAGAGGCUUCUGUGGAAUGAAGCAAAUCACUAAAUCAGCACACAUCCUGCCGGAAACUAACAUGACAUAGUGAUAACAAGGAAAAAAGAAUGGAAAAGUAGCUAACACAGCCGCUAAUUGAUUCUUUACACUAAUAUUGAGUUAAAUCAAAUAUCCCGCCAAAUAUUUUUGCACACAGCAGAAUCCCAUCAUCAAACCUGAAUAUGCGUAUUUCCCCUUAAAAUUCACAGGCUGAAAGCUAAAUCAAACUAAUUAACCAAAAUAAAGCCUCUAAAUAUAAAUCAACAACUCAAAAACCAGCAAUUUUACGACGCGUAAUGCGUGUGUGGAUUUGAAAAUUGCAGGAAGAAGACCUGUAAGAAAUGUCCAACACUAAGCCUCUAAAUCCAGACAGGUCAUCAAUCUCAAACCCUGCUUCAUCCUCCAACACUUCAUCAAACACUCCACCGGCAUUGCUCGUCGCAGACGACGGCGGCGGCGACGAUUUGGAGGCGUGCGCCGUAGAAUCGUAGAGCUUGCGCUUGCGAUCUCCGCCGCUGAAACACUUAACUCUACAGCGGCGGUGAAAUGCGCCGAACCCUACCGACAUGCCGUUUCCAGUUACGAGAGGCUUUAGACGGACGCCGGCGGUAAAUUGCGCCAUCAAUUCACCGCAGAAUCUUAACGCAAUCACGCACACUUAACCAAUUGCAUCACUUGCAACUGCGAUAAUUGGUGGAUUUUUCGAAAGCGGGAUCCAAGAUUGUUCAAAUUGGAAUUGAAUAAGAAAAAGGAAUAUCCUUUGUUUUUGGUUUGCUUGUUUUCCAACUAUACUAAAUUUGAUCACGUAAAAUCUCGCUGCCACAUAUUUUCAUUUCGGG